This 67-nucleotide ribosomal RNA is filed under the name Trichoderma paraviridescens. RNAcentral's name for it is "partial 28S ribosomal RNA". Lineage: Eukaryota; Fungi; Ascomycota; Sordariomycetes; Hypocreales; Hypocreaceae. The record is from RNAcentral.
GUUGACCUCGGAUCAGGUAGGAAUACCCGCUGAACUUAAGCAUAUCAAUAACGGGAGAGAACAAGAA